Molecule: ribosomal RNA, 500 nt
Filed under: uncultured bacterium
Lineage: Bacteria
Description: partial 16S ribosomal RNA
Rfam family: Bacterial small subunit ribosomal RNA
Source: RNAcentral
GACGAACGCUGGCGGCGUGCUUAACACAUGCAAGUCGAACGGGUCUGCCCUGUUUUUUGCGGGGUGGGUCAGUGGCGAACGGGUGAGUAACACGUGAGUAACCUGCCCCUCACUUCUGGAUAACCGCUUGAAAGGGUGGCUAAUACGGGGUGUUCUGGCUGUGCCGCAUGGUGUGGCUGGGAAAGAUUCACUUUUGUGGUGUUUUGGUGGGGGAUGGGCUCGCGGCCUAUCAGCUUGUUGGUGGGGUGAUGGCCUGCCAAGGCUUUGACGGGUAGCCGGCCUGAGAGGGUGGGCGGGCACACUGGGACUGAGAUACGGCCCAGACUCCUGCGGGAGGCAGCAGUGGGGGGUAUUGCACAAUGGGCGGAAGCCUGAUGCAGCGACGUCGCGUGAGGGAUGGAGGCCUGCGGGUUGUGAACCUCUUUCGCCGGUGAAGAAGGUCCUGCUCUUUGUGGUGGGGUUGACGGUAGCCGGGUUAUGAAGCGCCGGCUAACUACGUG